AGUUCCGUAGUGUAGUGGUUAUCACGUUCGCUUCACACGCGAAAGGUCUCCCGGUUCGAUCCCGACGGAACCA
RNAcentral lists this transfer RNA (73 nucleotides) under Trichonephila inaurata madagascariensis. It matches the Rfam family "tRNA". Rfam says of the family: Transfer RNA (tRNA) molecules are approximately 80 nucleotides in length. Their secondary structure includes four short double-helical elements and three loops (D, anti-codon, and T loops). The record is from Rfam by way of RNAcentral. Lineage: Eukaryota; Metazoa; Arthropoda; Arachnida; Araneae; Nephilidae.